RNAcentral lists this unclassified non-coding RNA (335 nucleotides) under Borreliella burgdorferi (Lyme disease spirochete). Its description in RNAcentral is "partial contains 5S-23S ribosomal RNA intergenic spacer and 23S ribosomal RNA". The stretch from base 207 to 335 matches the Rfam family "Bacterial large subunit ribosomal RNA", at positions 1 to 129 of the family's 2925-position model. Lineage: Bacteria; Pseudomonadati; Spirochaetota; Spirochaetia; Spirochaetales; Borreliaceae. The record is from RNAcentral.
GGAGAGUAGGUUAUUGCCAGGGUUUUUAUUUUUAUACUUUAAACUUUGAUUUUAUUUUUAUGUUUUUUAAAUAUUGGUGUUUUUGAAUGUGUUGUUUAAAUAACAUAAAAAAUAAAAUAUAUAUAUUGACAUGCAUUAAACAAAGAUAUAUAUUAUUUUAUGUUGUAUAAAUAAAUUGGCAAAAUAGAGAUGGAAGAUAAAAAUAUGGUCAAAGUAAUAAGAGUCUAUGGUGAAUGCCUAGGAGCUUUAAGGCGAAGAAGGUCGUGGUAAGCUGCGAAAAGCUUGGGGGAGAAGCAAACAUUUAUUGAUCCCAAGAUUACCGAAUGGAGUAAUCC